RNAcentral lists this ribosomal RNA (253 nucleotides) under uncultured bacterium. Its description in RNAcentral is "partial 16S ribosomal RNA". It matches the Rfam family "Bacterial small subunit ribosomal RNA", at positions 524 to 776 of the family's 1533-position model. The record is from RNAcentral.
UACGGAGGGGGCUAGCGUUGUUCGGAAUUACUGGGCGUAAAGCGUACGUAGGCGGCUUUCUAAGUCAGGGGUGAAAUCCUGGAGCUCAACUCCAGAACUGCCUUUGAUACUGGGAAGCUCGAGUCCGGAAGAGGUGAGUGGAACUGCGAGUGUAGAGGUGAAAUUCGUAGAUAUUCGGAGGAACACCAGUGGCGAAGGCGGCUCACUGGCUCGAUACUGACGCUGAGGUGCGAAAGCGUGGGGAGCAAACAGG